UCACAAGCAAAAAAACAUGGAGGAGUUAACUCGAAAGGGGACGAGAAACAUUGCUAUUAGACGGCGAGGAACAAUAUCUGGAGAUGAUUAUGAUUGACUUACUUUGGUCCCUCAGUGUUGUUGCUAACCAUAUUCACUGACUUUAUUAUUCGCACUAAAAAACUAAGACGAUAGAGUGGAACGAUCGAGCUCAAUUUACGGUGUUUCAUACAAGUCUUUUCGCUACCAAUACAUUUUUAGUCUCCGUAAAGUAGUUUGUUGAAAACAUUACGAUAUCCUUCUUCUUCAAUAGGGUGAGGUGUGAAUAAACCUCAAUAGGGUGAGGUGUGGAUAAACCUUAAUAGGGUGAGGUGGGGAU
Actinia tenebrosa (Australian red waratah sea anemone) is the source of this 358-nucleotide long non-coding RNA. RefSeq lists it as uncharacterized. The record is from RefSeq and is a predicted model, not a curated record. Lineage: Eukaryota; Metazoa; Cnidaria; Anthozoa; Actiniaria; Actiniidae.